This 45-nucleotide non-coding RNA is filed under the name Echinostoma caproni. Lineage: Eukaryota; Metazoa; Platyhelminthes; Trematoda; Plagiorchiida; Echinostomatidae. The record is from RNAcentral.
UCACUACUGACGAGUCCCAAACAGGGCAAAACAGCUGUCUAGUGC